This 20-nucleotide microRNA is filed under the name Ananas comosus (pineapple). RNAcentral describes it as "microRNA s0026_c026". Lineage: Eukaryota; Viridiplantae; Streptophyta; Magnoliopsida; Poales; Bromeliaceae. The record is from RNAcentral.
AGGAAGCUUCGGAGUCCCUU